This 616-nucleotide ribosomal RNA is filed under the name uncultured bacterium. RNAcentral describes it as "bacterial SSU rRNA". The stretch from base 1 to 544 matches the Rfam family "Bacterial small subunit ribosomal RNA", at positions 338 to 873 of the family's 1533-position model. The record is from RNAcentral.
CCUACGGGAGGCAGCAGUGGGGAAUUUUGGACAAUGGGCGCAAGCCUGAUCCAGCCAUGCCGCGUGCGGGAAGAAGGCCUUCGGGUUGUAAACCGCUUUUGUUCGGGAAGAAAUUGACUGGGCUAAUACCCCGGGUUAGAUGACGGUACCGGAAGAAUAAGCACCGGCUAACUACGUGCCAGCAGCCGCGGUAAUACGUAGGGUGCGAGCGUUAAUCGGAAUUACUGGGCGUAAAGCGUGCGCAGGCGGUUUCGCAAGUCAGAUGUGAAAGCCCCGGGCUCAACCUGGGAACUGCAUUUGAAACUACGAAGCUAGAGUGUGUCAGAGGGGGGUUAGAAUUCCACGUGUAGCAGUGAAAUGCGUAGAGAUGUGGAGGAAUACCAAUGGCGAAGGCAGCCCCCUGGGAUAACACUGACGCUCAUGCACGAAAGCGUGGGGAGCAAACAGGAUUAGAUACCCUGGUAGUCCACGCCCUAAACGAUGUCAACUAGUUGUCGGGGAAGCAAUUCCUUGGUAACGCAGCUAACGCGUGAAGUUGACCGCCGNGGAGGUACGGUCGCGAGAUAAACUACAAGAAGUAGAGCGNGNGAGNGCGACGGCGACGACGAGGGAGAGG